RNAcentral lists this unclassified non-coding RNA (434 nucleotides) under soil metagenome. Its description in RNAcentral is "partial contains 5.8S ribosomal RNA, internal transcribed spacer 2, and large subunit ribosomal RNA". The stretch from base 1 to 120 matches the Rfam family "5.8S ribosomal RNA", at positions 35 to 154 of the family's 154-position model. The record is from RNAcentral.
GAUGAAGAACGCAGCGAAAUGCGAUAAGUAGUGUGAAUUGCAGAAUUCCGUGAAUCAUCGAAUCUUUGAACGCAUAUUGCGCUCUUUGGUAUUCCGAAGAGCAUGCUUGUUUGAGUAUCAGUAAACACCUCAAAGCUUUUGGAUUUUUUAAUCGAAAAGCUUUGGACUUGAGCAAUCCCAACACCAAUCUUUUUGAGAUCGGUGGCGGGUUGCUUGAAAUGCAGGUGCAGCUGGACAUUCUCCUGAGCUAAAAGCAUAUUCAUUUAGUCCCGUCAAACGGAUUAUUACUUUUGCUGCAGCUAACAUAAAGGGAGUUUGACCGUAUUGGCUGACUGAUGCAGGAUUUCACAAGGGUCGGCAACGAUUCUUGUUAAACUCGAUCUCAAAUCAAGUAAGACUACCCGCUGAACUUAAGCAUAUCAAUAAGCGGAGGA